RNAcentral lists this long non-coding RNA (765 nucleotides) under Medicago truncatula (barrel medic). RNAcentral's name for it is "long non-coding RNA (MTRU_LNC000470)". Lineage: Eukaryota; Viridiplantae; Streptophyta; Magnoliopsida; Fabales; Fabaceae. The record is from RNAcentral.
UCCCAACAAGCAAACAAACACACUCCACGGAACAAUAUAGGGCACUUGCGUAUGGAUGCAAAAUCAAAUUGCAAAAAAAAAAGUGGUGCAUGAGCGAUUGCAAGUAUGACAACAACAAACUAGGAUGAGUCAAAAUGAAUCUAAUAUUUGAAAUUUGGCGUGUGAACGCGAUCGCCAACACGAAAACGGAUCCAUUCACCACAAACCGAGCACGACGAAAGUGAAAACAACAAGCAUAAACGACUAUGAGGCAACCUGAGAUGCAGAAGAACAUCAAGCUCGUGAAGCCUUGGCUCUUUUGAGCAAUAAAAACCAGAGGCAAAACCUUCGGCGCUCCCAUAAACCCACUGAAACAACCAAUCAAGGAGCAUCGUGAAUAUACCAAUAGUCACGGAAGCCACGAAUAAGUCGGCGACGAAAAAGGAGCAGCGUAAAUAUACCAAUAGUUUUAGAAACACAGCGACGACCAAUCAAACCAUGGUCGCCGAAAAAGUCACGAACCAAAGAACACAGACCCUCACAAGUUUUUCAACAUAAUCAACUACAAAUUUUUCCCUCUAUAGCAUUGGAUCACCUUUAAGGGGAACUACAAACACAAACAACUUUGAAUCGUCACGCAAAACAUGUGUUGUAAACAACCACCGCUGUUAAGCAUUUGACCGUCACGAUUGUGUUAUUUCUACAUAAUCCAAAUAUACUGGUGCUUGAUACACCGCGAGAUCUAAAGAAAGGGUGAUGCAGAGGGCUAAAACCACUCUUCACACC